Molecule: ribosomal RNA, 1323 nt
Filed under: Triticum aestivum (bread wheat)
Lineage: Eukaryota; Viridiplantae; Streptophyta; Magnoliopsida; Poales; Poaceae
Description: partial small subunit ribosomal RNA
Source: RNAcentral
AUGCAGAGGCCGGGAGUCCCCUUUUCGGGAAAAAAAACCUUGUCCAUCAUCUGUCCUCAUGCUUGCACUUUUGUCUUGUGCCUCAAAUUUGAAUUAUUUGUACAAAUUACGAUGAGUAGCCUUCGGUCUAGUUCUAUUUUACUUACAAAUUGUGGUUCAUCCGGCACAUACAUGCAUGCUUCUCAACUAUGCCAGACCUCAAAGGCAAUGUUACAUUGUCAUGUAUGGCUCCGACGAGCGCAGCGGGAGCGCCGCGAUCUCCCGGGUGCGGGCGGACGCCGACCGCCCCACGGACAUCUCCUGCUCCACGUUCGGCGACGGCACGGGCGCCGGCGGCGCCGCCACCGACGACGCGAACGUGGACGCCACGCUGCUGCUCACGCCGCUGCCCGAGCCGCCGCCCGUGGUGGCCGUGGUCACCGUCAUGAAGCUGUCCGACGACUUGGGCGGCGGCGGCCGCUCCAGCUCCAUGAUCCCCUCCAGCAUCUGCACCACCUUCCCCAUCGUCGGCCGCUGCGACGGCUGCUCCUGGAUGCACCAGAAGCUCACCUGCAGCGCGCGCUCCACCUGCGCCAUGUCCACCUCCUCCCCGGCCAGCCGCCGGUCCACGAUGGCCAGGAGGUUCCCCUUCUCGUACUCCUCGUACGCCCACACCGAGAACUUCUUCCGGCUCGUCUCCUCCGAGAUGUCGAAGUUGCGGCGGCCGCUCACCGUCUCCAGCAGGACCAUCCCGUAGCUGUACACGUCCGACUUGACGGUGAUGGGCAGGUUGGCGAGCCACUCCGGCGCCAGGUACCCCCUGGUGCCGCGCACGCUCGUCAGCGUCCGGUGCCGGUGGUCCUUGGGGUUGAUGAGCUUGGCGAGCCCGAAGUCGGACACCUUGGCGUUGUGCUGCUCGUCGAGCAGGAUGUUCUCCGGCUUGAUGUCGCAGUGCACGAUGGUGUCCCGGCACUCCUCGUGCAGGUACGUGAUGCCGCGCGCCGUGCCCACGGCCACCGCGAACCGCGUCGCCCACGACAUCGCCUUGCCGCUGUCGCUGGUGUUGCUGCCGCCGGCGCCGAAGAGGAAGGAGUCCAGCGAGCCGUUCUUCAUGAACUCGUAGACCAGCAGGCGGUGCCGGCCCUCGGAGCAGAAGCCGAUGAGGCGGACCAGGUUGAGGUGGUGCGUGCUGCUGAUGGUCGCCACCUCCAUCCGGAACUGCUUCUCCCCCUGCUCGAUCCCCUCCAGCUGCUUCACGGCCACCACCGUCCGGUUCGCCAGCACGCCGCGGUACACCGCGCCGAACCCGCCCGCGCCCAGCUUCUCCUUGAACCCCUUGGUUGA